Molecule: ribosomal RNA, 429 nt
Filed under: Chloroflexota bacterium
Lineage: Bacteria; Bacillati; Chloroflexota
Description: Chloroflexi bacterium partial 16S ribosomal RNA
Rfam family: Bacterial small subunit ribosomal RNA
Source: RNAcentral
UGGGGAAUAUUGCACAAUGGGCGCAAGCCUGAUGCAGCCAUGCCGCGUGUAUGAAGAAGGCCUUCGGGUUGUAAAGUACUUUCAGCGGGGAGGAAGGGAGUAAAGUUAAUACCUUUGCUCAUUGACGUUACCCGCAGAAGAAGCACCGGCUAACCCCGUGCCAGCAGCCGCGGUAAUACGGAGGGUGCAAGCGUUAAUCGGAAUUACUGGGCGUAAAGCGCACGCAGGCGGUUUGUUAAGUCAGAUGUGAAAUCCCCGGGCUCAACCUGGGAACUGCAUCUGAUACUGGCAAGCUUGAGUCUCGUAGAGGGGGGUAGAAUUCCAGGUGUAGCGGUGAAAUGCGUAGAGAUCUGGAGGAAUACCGGUGGCGAAGGCGGCCCCCUGGACGAAGACUGACGCUCAGGUGCGAAAGCGUGGGGAGCAAACAGG